This 90-nucleotide transfer RNA is filed under the name Aspergillus avenaceus. Its description in RNAcentral is "tRNA-Tyr". Lineage: Eukaryota; Fungi; Ascomycota; Eurotiomycetes; Eurotiales; Aspergillaceae. The record is from RNAcentral.
CCCCCGAUGGUCUAGUUGGAUAUGACGCUCGGCUGUAAUGGAUGCAUCUGUAUAACCGAGAGGUCGCUGGCUCGAUUCCGGCUCGGGGGA